AGGCGGGUGCUGGGAGGAGGCAGAGGGGCUUCUGGGGUCUGCUCUCUGCCACACCACCCGCCUGC
RNAcentral lists this non-coding RNA (65 nucleotides) under Sus scrofa (pig). Lineage: Eukaryota; Metazoa; Chordata; Mammalia; Artiodactyla; Suidae. The record is from RNAcentral.